AUUGAACGCUGGCGGCAUGCUUUACACAUGCAAGUCGAACGGUAACAGGUUAAGCUGACGAGUGGCGAACGGGUGAGUAAUGCAUCGGAACGUGCCCGAUCGUGGGGGAUAACGCAGCGAAAGCUGCGCUAAUACCGCAUACGAUCUGAGGAUGAAAGCGGGGGACCGUAAGGCCUCGCGCGAUCGGAGCGGCCGAUGUCAGAUUAGGUAGUUGGUGGGGUAAAGGCUCACCAAGCCGACGAUCUGUAGCUGGUCUGAGAGGACGACCAGCCACACUGGGACUGAGACACGGCCCAGACUCCUACGGGAGGCAGCAGUGGGGUAUUUUGGACAAUGGGCGAAAGCCUGAUCCAGCAAUGCCGCGUGCAGGAAGAAGGCCUUCGGGUUGUAAACUGCUUUUGUACGGAGCGAAAAGGCUCUCUCUAAUACAGGGGGCUCAUGACGGUACCGUAAGAAUAAGCACCGGCUAACUACGUGCCAGCCGCCGCGGUAA
RNAcentral lists this ribosomal RNA (493 nucleotides) under uncultured bacterium. RNAcentral's name for it is "partial 16S ribosomal RNA". It matches the Rfam family "Bacterial small subunit ribosomal RNA", at positions 30 to 523 of the family's 1533-position model. The record is from RNAcentral.